RNAcentral lists this ribosomal RNA (253 nucleotides) under uncultured bacterium. RNAcentral's name for it is "partial 16S ribosomal RNA". It matches the Rfam family "Bacterial small subunit ribosomal RNA", at positions 524 to 776 of the family's 1533-position model. The record is from RNAcentral.
UACGAAGGUCCCAAGCGUUGUUCGGAAUCACUGGGCGUAAAGGGUGCGUAGGCGGCGCGGAAAGUCAGAUGUGAAAGCCCCGGGUUCAACCCGGGAACUGCAUCCGAUACUCCCGCGCUAGAGGAUUGGGGAGGAGUCUGGAAUUCACGGUGUAGCAGUGAAAUGCGUAGAUAUCGUGAGGAACACUCGUGGCGAAGGCGAGACUCUGGACAAUUCCUGACGCUGCGGCACGAAGGCCGGGGGAGGAAACAGG